CAAAAGUCUAGUCACAUUGUGGAGUUAUGUACAAGUUGGAGCUGCCAUGAAGCCUGGUAUGAAGAAUUAAGAUGAUGGCACCACCAGGUUGCAUUUGUGCAGAAACAUCUCAGAUUGCUUUUUGACUCACUGUUUUUCCUGGGAAAGGAAUUAUCAUCUGCUGCGUGGGGGGAGGGAUGGAGGAGGAUCGACUGCACGGAUGUUUGAGGGUCACACAUCAACAGGGAUCAUACAUCAACUACAACAGAAACUUGAUGAUGUUUUUGCUGCACAAACAAAGUUAAAGCUUUCAUUGGGGAAAGGUAGUAAAAACUGGAUUUAGCCCGUCUGUCCUGGGGGUGUGGUAAAAAAAUGUCAGGGGGGCAGGUUGUGACAAAAUGCACUUGUUUUAUCCAUGUGGUUUUAUGUGUGUCCACAUGAACACACAUAGUUGUUUUUACCUCUUUACCUUUCAUGUGCUGUGGCCUGGAGGAGAUUUUUUUCUAUUGUUUAAAUGCACAGACUGUAUGUAGGUUUAAAUGCAAUUACAAUGAACCUGAAGCGCUUGAAUAAAACACUACCCCACA
This is a long non-coding RNA of Micropterus salmoides (largemouth bass), 566 nucleotides long. RefSeq lists it as uncharacterized. The transcript has 2 exons. Lineage: Eukaryota; Metazoa; Chordata; Actinopteri; Centrarchiformes; Centrarchidae. The record is from RefSeq and is a predicted model, not a curated record.